Molecule: ribosomal RNA, 2798 nt
Organism: Candidatus Xenolissoclinum pacificiensis L6
Lineage: Bacteria; Pseudomonadati; Pseudomonadota; Alphaproteobacteria; Rickettsiales; Anaplasmataceae
Rfam family: Bacterial large subunit ribosomal RNA
Source: Rfam
GCAUAAACACUUAAGGGUAUUUGGUGGAUGCCUUGGCGUUAAGAGGCGAUGAAGGACGUGAUAGCCUGCGAUAAGCUACGGGGAACUGGCAAUAAGUUUUGAUCCGUAGAUGUCCGAAUGGGGAAACCCUAUCCAUCUUGGAUAAUUAUACGUUGAAUACAUAGGCGUAUAAGGCGAACCUGGUGAACUGAAAUAUCUAAGUAACCAGAGGAAAGGAAAUCAAUUAGAGACUCCGGUAGUAGUGACGAGCGAACCCGGACUAGACUAGUAGUUUGAUAUUUAUAAUUAGAAUACUUUGGAAAGAGUAACCAUAGUGAGUGAUAGUCUCGUAUAAGUAGAACAAUGUCAAACUCUCAAGUAGAUCAAGACACGUGAAAUCUUGUUUGAAUAUAGGGGGGCCACCCUCUAAGUCUAAGUACUACUUAACGACCGAUAGUGAACUAGUACUGUGAAGGAAAGGUGAAAAGAACCCCGGGAGGGGAGUGAAAUAGACCUGAAACCAGAUACCUACAAACAGUUGGAGCUUCCUAAUAUUAACUGAUAGGUGAAAAACCUCGGUUUUUCACAAGGAUGUUUUUUUGUGAAGUGACAGCGUACCUUUUGCAUAAUGGGUCAGCGACUUAAUUUGUUAAGCAAGCUUAAGCCGGUAGGUGUAGGCAUAGCGAAAGCGAGUCUUAAGAUGGCGAUUAGUUUAACGGAUUAGACCCGAAACCAAGUGAUCUAGUUAUGGUCAGAUUGAAGAUGCAGUAAGAUGCAUUGGAGGAUCGAACCUACUACUGUUGAAAAAGUAGAGGAUGAACUGUGACUAGGGGUGAAAGGCCAAUCAAACUUGGAAAUAGCUGGUUCUCCGCGAAAUCUAUUGAGGUAGAGCGUUGUAAUAUAGUUUUGGGGGUAGAGCACUUGAUGAGCUAUGGGGGUUAACACCUUACUGAACUCAACUAAACUCCGAAUACCAGACGAUUUUUUACAGCAGACACACUACGGGUGCUAAGAUCCGUGGUGGAGAGGGAAAGAGCCCAGACCGUCAUUUAAGGUCCCAAAGUUGUAGCUAAGUGGGGAAGGUUGUGAGAAGACCAAGACAGCCAGGAGGUGGGCUUAGAAGCAGCCAUCCUUUAAAGAUAGCGUAACAGCUCACUGGUCUAAUAGUUUUCUUGUGCCGAAAAUUCACCGGGGCUAAAGCUACACACCGAAGAUGCGGGCUUGUUAUUUUUUAACAAGCGGUAGCGGAGCGUUCUGUAAGUCGUUGAAGGUAUCCCGACGAGGGGUGCUGGAGAUAUCAGAAGUGAGAAUGCUGACAUGAGUAGCGAUAAAGAAUGUGAAAAACAUUCUCGCCGAAAACCUAAGGUUUCCUACGUCAAGUUAAUCUGCGUAGGGUUAGUCGGUUCCUAAGAUGAGUCCGAGAGGGGUAGUCGAUGGAAAUCAGGUUAAUAUUCCUGAACCUGCAGGUAGUGACAAAUCUCGUAAAUUGUAUUCGCUUAUUGGAUUGCGAAUGCUUUGAAGAGGUUUCAGGAAAUAGCUCCUGCACAAUAGGCCGUACCGCAAACCGACACAGGUAGGUAGGUAGAGUAUACUAAGGCGCUUAAGAGAACGGUAUUGAAGGAACUCGGCAAGUUGCAUCCGUAACUUCGGGAGAAGGAUGAUCUUAGUUAGGGCAACCUUUUUAAGAUGGCACAAAAUAGGGGAAAGCGACUGUUUAUCAAAAACACAGGACUCUGCUAACACGUAAGUGGAUGUAUAGGGUCUGACGCCUGCCCAGUGCUGGAAGGUUAAGGAGAGGAGUUAGCGCUCUGAACUGAAGCCCCAGUAAACGGCGGCCGUAACACUGACGGUCCUAAGGUAGCGAAAUUCCUUGUCGGGUAAGUUCCGACCUGCAUGAAUGGCGUAACGAUUUUCCCACUGUCUCCAAUACCGACUUAGCGAAAUUGAAUUCCCCGUGCAGAUGCGGGGUACCCGCGAUCAGACGAAGAGACCCCAUGCACCUUUACUACAACUUUACGUUGAGGGUAGGAUCAGUAUGUGCAGCAUAGGUAGGAGACUUUGAAGCUAUAGCGCUAGCUGUAGUGGAGUCGAAAUUUGAGAUACUACCCCUACUGUUUUUAUUCUCUAACCAUGAUCCAUUAUCUGGAUUUGGAACCCCGUAUGGUGGGUAGUUUGACUGGGGCGGUCGCCUCCUAAAGAGUAACGGAGGCGCGCAAAGGUAAGCUCAGACUGGACAGAAAUCAGUUUUUGAGAGUGCAAUGGCAUAAGCUUGCUUGACUGCGAGGCUGACAAGCCGAGCAGAGACGAAAGUCGGUCAUAGUGAUCCGGUGAUUCCAUGUGGUGGGGUCAUCGCUCAACGGAUAAAAGGUACGCUGGGGAUAACAGGCUGAUGGUGCUCGAGAGUUCAUAUCGACGGCACCGUUUGGCACCUCGAUGUCGGCUCAUCAUAUCCUGGGGCUGGAGAAGGUCCCAAGGGUUCGGCUGUUCGCCGAUUAAUAAUGGUACGUGAGCUGGGUUCAGAACGUCGUGAGACAGUUCGGUUUCUAUCUGUCGUGGGUGUUGGAAAUUUGAGAGGUUCUGGUUCUAGUACGAGAGGACCGAACUGGAUAUACCUCUGGUGUACCAAUUGUCAUGCCAAUGGCACCGUUGGGUAGCUACGUAUGUAAGGGAUAACCGCUGAAGGCAUAUAAGCGGGAAGCCCUCCUCGAAAAUAAAUUUCCCUAUUAGAGUCGUGAGAGAUUAUCACGUUGAUAGGCUAGAGGUGUAAGUAUGGUAACAUAUUUAGCUGACUAGUACUAAUACUCGAUCGGUUUAUGCUG